RNAcentral lists this unclassified non-coding RNA (344 nucleotides) under Hevea brasiliensis (rubber tree). The record is from RNAcentral. Lineage: Eukaryota; Viridiplantae; Streptophyta; Magnoliopsida; Malpighiales; Euphorbiaceae.
CCAAACCAUUUUAGAUGUGGAAUUCCAGUCCCUCCUUGAAGAAGCAUAUAUAACUUUGACUCAUAGUGAAGCUGAGGAUGUUUGGUCUUCACAGAUUCCAGUUUAACAGCGACCUCUUCUCCAGUUUGCACAUUUACACCCAGAUAGAGCUCCCCAAAAGAUCCACUACCAAUCUUCCUUCCCAGCUUAAACUUGCCACCAACAAUAUGGUCAAUCUUCGAUUUCUCCAUUGCUAAACAACUCAACCCAGAAGCAUAAAAUAGCUAUGUUUACUUAGAUUUGCGAGCAAUUAGCUUUUCCUUAUAAAUAACCCCCCUACCCAACAAACAUUAACACCCAAAAAA